Molecule: long non-coding RNA, 8394 nt
Organism: Gallus gallus (chicken)
Lineage: Eukaryota; Metazoa; Chordata; Aves; Galliformes; Phasianidae
Exons: 3
Source: RefSeq, a predicted model, not a curated record
GCUGUGCAGCGCUGGCACCGAGCGUUCCUCCAGAUGAGAACUGACACGGGGUUCAGGGGUUAAUUUCUGGAACAGACGCAUUUGCAUACAAAUGAAAAAUGAUGGAAUUUCUGUUCUCCUAAAUUUUCAAUGUCAUCAGCAUCAAACAGCAGUCAGUGCUCCCUUGCUGUUUGAAGAAUAUUCAUUACUUCAGAAGAAGGGGCACCUUGUUUGGUAUUAAUCUCCUCUUCAGGUCAAUGACUUAAUUUGCUCAACUCCAUCUGAAGUGCCACUCACUUUCUGAUUUCUGCGCUGUUCUUUGUUAUUUUUCGUAACGUGUUCUUAAUACUUUUAUUAUUAUUAUUUGUAAGGGGAUACACUUCUCCUGCAAAUAUGAGCAGGAGGCAGGGCUGCCUUUCAUUAUGGGUUUCCAACCAAAGUGCUCAGCACCAGCCUGUAUCAUUUGUAGCAUGUUUUGGUGACUGCUACUCUUGAAAGUCAUGUAUUUUUGCAGAUAGAUUUUCCAGUUUCACACUGGAAUAGGAAAACAAACAUUUUUUUUCUUUUGAAACUGAUGCCCAAAGGGACAUUGUGCAACAAGAUUGCAGGGUGUUGUGCCUCUCCAAAAGGUGAGACGCUGCAAAGCAAUUAACUCCCCCCUCCACCCCCCCCCCAAAAAAAUAAUAACAUUUCCUUAGUCACUGCUUCUGGAUCUUCUUACCUGAGGCCUCAUAGAAAGAUCUUGGUGCCCACUCCCAUUUCCCCACUGUCCCCUUAGUGCUGUCAUGGGGCCUGAGGAAAGGUCCCAUUUCCCCCAUUCUGCCCUUCUUGGUUAUGAUUCUUCCCCCUGAAUGGGAUUAUUCAGGGAUCUUUAGAUCCUGGAGGCUUGGGGGUCAGCCCAGGCUGCACCAAGUGGUCCCCCGGGUGCACCAUGGGGUUUACCCCGAGCCCUCUCUUUUUACAUGGCUUUCUGUCUGGAUUUAUUCCUGAUCCUGAAGAUAGUAAUUUGUUAGGAGGCUGGAGAGAAGCUGUGAAGUGCUUUCUAGUUUUCUUCUCUAAUUAUUAAUAUUAUUUUUUACAUAUCUAUUUCCAAAACGGUAACAUUGCCCAUUUGGAAUGAAUUGUGGAAUCAUAAAACCAUGAAGGUUGGAGAAGCCCUCUAGAGUCCCCAAGUCCAACUGCAUCCCACCCUUACCGUGCCCACUGACCAUGUCUCUCAUCCCCACAGAUCUGGAACACCUCCAGGGACUGUGACCCCCCCACUGCUCCCUGGGCAGCCUGUGCCAAUGCAUCACACUUAUUUCCAAGAAGAAAUCUUUCCUGGCUGUGUAGAAUUUAUAGCCAUGCAGUACUUUUAUACAGUGCAUUACAGAACUGACAGGAGCCUUGGGCAGUCGAAACAUAAAAAUAACGUGCAACUGCUGGAGGAGAGAGCUCCCUUCCUACCUGCAGCAUUAAGUUAAGAAUGUCUAAGGACUGAUCCUCAGCCCCAGCCAAGCUGGAUUUAACAUAGGUCACCCCGAGGUGGGGCGAGGGGGCUUUGUGUCAUUUUUAGACACCCUGAUCCUGGGGGGCUCACAGGUUGGGCUGGCAGGGCUGGCCCUGUGCCGCAGGGCAGGUUGGGGAUGAGGGGAUAAGCCAGCUUUGUGCAGAGCUCAUUUGGGAGCCCGUUAUCCGAGCAGAGCAUUCUCAGCAGAGGAAACUUCUAUGGAUAAAGUUGGUAAAAGCUGCCCCUAGUCCAGUUCUGCUUCCUGUACGCAGGAAAACAGUGGUGAAAAUGGGACUUGCGUGCAUGGUUUCAAAGUGGAAGCUCAGGCUGCUGGCUGAGGAACUGGGUGGUAACCACAUCUGCCCAUCUGGUUCUAUGAAUAUUGAUGGUAAAGUCAGGAGAAGAGGCUUGUCAUCAUGUUGGGAUCUGGCACUGCUGCUCAGGGCAGGCACUUGUGCCACUGUGCGGUGUCCAUGUGCCGGGAUGGGCCUCCUCUGCCAGCUGAGGAUCUGUCCCUCAAUGAGAAAAGUUGAGAUACCCAUUGUGGAAUCAGUUUGGCCACGUUAGCGAUACGUUGCUCUAGAAACAUGUCUAUGAAUAUGCUAAUGUUUAUUUUGCCAAGCAGAGCUGCCAGGAUGUGCCAUGUGGCUGAGUUAGUGUUACUUUAAGAAUUCUUUUUUUUUUUUUUUUUUUGCCUUUUCAGACUUUUGAGCUUCUAAACUUGUAAACACAAUGUUUUGUUGGCUCGUGUUUCUGGGGAUUUUAUGCAUACAGCUGACUUUUAUCUUCACUUUUUGCAUCACCUUAAUAUUGUCGGAGCGAAAGCACUCAUCUGUUUAUGAUAAGUUUAUCAGAAAUACUCCAAAGUUUUCUGCCACUGAGAUAUUAUAUUCUUAGGGUGGUUUGCUACGGGGUAAUUCUGAGACAACAAACAGAAUAUUUCAAAGCCCAGAUGCCCCGUUUAGACAAGGGGGUUUAUAUUGAUUAGAAUCUGCUUUCACCUAACAUCGUGGCGUAAAUAUCACAAAGAUGUAAUUAAAAAACUCGGUACAAUAUUGAGUCCCAGUCCCCCUGUGCCAGAAUUGUUUGAGUGCUGCGGAACUGGAGCUUGUUUGCAUCCCAGUGUGUUGUGAAAUGCAAACUUCAAAGAAAAUAUUAUAUCUCCCAACUCCAGCUCGUGAGAGCCUUGGAAGUAUAAUACAGAACGGCUUAGCGAUCCCUGCUGAGGAAAGGGCAAGCUGACACUGAGACGGCUGCUGGAGCGCUGCAGAAACACUGAUUGUCAAUGUCUGAAUUUCAUCACAAUCUGUUCGGCUGUUUGUUGCAGGCAGGCGUAAAACAGAGCGGGUGUAGGACAGCACAGGUUCCACAACACCUACUGCACAGACCUGGCUGGUGAUGACAUUGUAAGAGGCUGCCAGGUUGGUUGAGCAUGAUUUUCCCCUUGGUGAAUCCAUGUUGACUACUGAUAACCUCCUUCACUGGGUUAUAUCCUGGGCUGCUUGUGGGCAGCACUCCCUUCUGCAUCAUCAUCCUCACCCCUGAGUCACAUGAAGGACAAGAAUAGUGGCUCAAAUAAGUGCUUCUCAGCACAGCUUUCCCCAAAAGCUGCAUUAAAAGGUGAGUCCUUAUUUCUGAACUCAGCUUGGAAAUAAUUGCAAUUCCACAGUAAUGUUGUGUUGCUCAUAACCAGGUGCUAAAUGUGAAGAGCUGCAGGGUCUGGUUUUGGAGGGCAGAUGGCAAAGCAAAGGUGCAGCAAAGUGGAGGUGACUCCUUUCUCUGCACGCUGGCACCGGGCACACAAGAGAGAGGAAGCAAACUACUGACUGGGGUUUUUUUAGAUGUGACAUUUCAGUGAUGUACCAACAGAGGAAAUUUUGCUUGCAGAAUCCUGUGAGCAAAACACUUCUGAGAAUGUAUGUAUACAAUUGUUUAAAAAAACACAGGGUUACUGACACAGAUGCCAAUUUGGUAGGGCAUAUGGAACAUUUACACUUGCCUUUUUCAUUCUUUCUUGCUACAGCUGGUACUGAUUUAGUAUGUGAAAUUUUACUAGCAGGAGUGCUAAUCAAGACAGAGAUUUCUGUGAGGAUUUAGUCAUUUAUGUGGAGGAAAACUAUGGGUGUCAUUAAAAAGUACAAGAUCAUCUAUGAGAGAAGCAUUAUCAUUAGCAACCUAAUUUUUAAAGCAAACAGGGAAAGAAAAAAAAAAAGUACUGUAUCUCUUGAACAGCAGCAGCAGAAAAUUAUUUUCUAAGAGUCAUGCCUCUCAUCAAAGUCUGGGCAAGGAAAUUUUAAAUUUACUUAAAAAAAAAAAAAAAAGAAAAGCCAACAGCAAAGGUUGCUCCAAGUGACUUUGUUAGCAGUGUGCUGGCCUGCUCUGUAAUAUCAAAUGGAUGUGGCUCAGACUGGGAUUACAUAAAAAGAGCCCAUCCAGGUUCUGGAUCUGUGUUUGAAGCCGAAGCCUCUACUCAAACCAACUCUGCAAUGGCUCUGCAUGUCACCACCACAGCCAUUGGGACGGGUCCAGCAGCAUCCCACACCUACCUGGCAGAGUUUGUGGUAGUUCCCUGGUUGUUUUUUCUUGUUCUUUCUUUUUUUUUUUUUUUUUCUUUUUAAGAAAUUGCAAUCUGGAACUUGAAUGGAGGCAUUCAGACCUCAAGUGGCAGUUCUGGCCAAUUUCUGAUGUUGACAAGAAAUACUAUAUUCCAUUAAGAAGGCAAUGAGCGUGCAUUACGUAUCCAGAGAGGCGAUUUUACAUUACACACAGCGUAAAAAAUUAUGCUCUGGUUUAACUACCAUUUCCUGCCAAGAUUAUUCCUGUGCAAACAGCAACAGAACAACUGCAGUAUGGUAAAUAUGUUGUACAGGUGGCUCAGUGAUGGGGGGACCUGAGCAAUAAUGCCGACAUCUGUGGCCGGAGGUGGCCGGGUGGCAGCAGUGUGGUCCCUGUGGAUGGCAGCCAGCUGCCCAUACCUCCAGCAUUGCUUCCAUGCAGAGAAGGAUGAGGAGCUCUGGAGUGAGCUCUGUGCCCUUCUCAUGGUACUUUCUCACCUGGGUUGGGCUCUAGGGUGGAAAUGCACUGGGAGGAGGAUAUGGGUUUCCUGGAUGUCGUAAGUGGCACUCUGCAGUGCCUGAACAUUUGCCAGGAAAUAUGCCUCGUAAAUAAAUAAAAGCUGGAAUUCACCUCAACUCCUCACUCCUCAACUUGAUAUUGAGUAACCUGAAUGUCUUUGCAUGAUGCCUUCUUUGGCAUGGCCAGCACUGCUUCUGGAAACAUGAUAAUAGCAAGCAGGGCGUGGAGAACAAAGCCAAGACAUUUGCAUUUGUUCCUCCCUUGCUGAGAGAGACUGCAAAUUGUUAGGUAGACUUCCAAGUAACUGCUGGAUGGGAGCAGUCUGGUUUGAUGCUUGCAGGUUGUGGUGCUCUCAUGGCACUGCCUUCUUAAGCACUACAUGGCCUUCUCUUAUACUUUGGGAUCUACUGGGGCUCAAACUUUCCAAGAAGUCCCAGUAAAUCUGGCAUUGAGUCCUUGUUUUACUUCUAUAACCUAUUUUUUCGGCAGCUGAGAUGCAAAGCUUCCUGUUUACUGCCAUUUUCCAAUAUUGCAUCUAAGUAAAAGAAAAGCCAGAGAAUUUUGUAGAGUUAUAUGGCUCCUGCAUAUGGCAGCGGCAAUUUUUGCUUAAAAUUGGGCUUUUCCCGAAGUAAAUGUACCACUGAGCACAACCAACCAUCUCCUAAAAUGGCCAUCAAGCUGAUUAGCUCCAACCAUUGAAAAAAUAGGGGAGAAGGUGAGCUGAUGUGUGAAUGUUGCUGCAUGCUCCAGGUAGAAGUGCUUGCAUGAUUGCGAAAGUGAUGCAGAGGCAUUAUCAGCUCUGUGGAUAGAAGGAAGGGGUCACCUUUCAGUGUGGGCAUCCUGGUGCUGAUGCUCGUAGUGGUGGGACUCCUUUCUCCAGACACCUCCAGCUUUUGACUUCUGUUGUUACAACUGUCCAAACUUUUUCCAGAUUCUGACACUGGGUCAGAGCAGAAAUAUCGUAGGACUUGUCUCUGCCUGCCAGAAAGAAAAGAGACCAAAUUGCAAGGCUGAAUUUACUCUCGUUAUUCAUUAAGGUGGUUGCAUCAGCAGAAAAGGCUCAGUGCAGCAAUCUGAAGUCUUAGACAGUUUGUGAUGUUUAAACAUCUUAAGCACUGUUGAGCAUUUUCUUUACAUCUCUUGAUAUGGCACGGUGGUUUUAUUUAAGCAAUCCCGAAAAUCGUGGCCAGCUGCACCAUCUGCCAGCGACGAUGCAGGAUGGGUGCCUCCAGCAUGUCAGCGCUCAGAUGUCAUUUAAAAGGGAAAUGCUGUCUGAGCUGGGAAGGGGCCGAGACAAAGAGCUGGGCAGGCAGCAGGCUGUGCAAAGUGGGAAGAAGAAUGGAUACCUUUUUUCUGGCCUGACCCGAACAUCUGAGUUCUUUCCCUUGGGGUUUCUCACCCCCCAAAUGUUCUUUUUUGUUGUUGUUGUUGUGGGUUUUUUUUUUUUUAAUUUCCCUUGUUGCUCGUAGCUUUUUUCCCUUUUAGGAGUUGCUUGAUGUGGAACAGGUGGCUUGUGGUGCAGGUCACUGGCCAUGAAUGCUGCGUGCAGGGCUGAUGCUGGCAUUUAAAGGUCAGUCCUUGCCACUGCUCGGCACCUUCCUGGCAGCAGGUGACCCAUGGGCCCCUCUCACCCUAUGAAGAAGCCCCACCGCACCUUUGGGAAGCUGUUUGCAGCAGGACGAGGCGCGAUCACAGCUUGGCUGAAGGGUGUCACAUUCCCCAUGCUGCAGACACGAGGACCAGCGGUGGAAUAUUCGAUUACAUGUCAGUCACAGCACAUUAGGCAAUCUUCCAGUCUGCCAGCUUUGCCCUUCCUGGCUCUGAGCAAAGUGUCAUUGGGAAAGAAGUGGCACAGCGAGGCAAAGAGGUGAUGCUAGGGAGCUUCUGUCCCCAUCAGAAAUGUCCCAUAGGAGCCCUUCAGUGGGGCUACAGAUAGGGCAUGGUGGUUUAUGCCUGGGGAAUGUGAAUGCAAACCAGUACUGCUUACCUUUAUCCAUAGCUCUUAAGGUAUAUAUGUGUGUAAAAGCAGGAGAUGAUGCAGUGAGAAACUGGGAAACUGCCAUUCCAGUGGUAGUACCAGAAAUACUCUGCUCUUUCAAACACAGUGUCUAUAAAAACAUGUUGCUCUGACCGAGCAUUUUCCGGGCUGUUUUGCUUGCAAAUUACUUAACGAAAAUACAUUAGAAGUGGAAGUUAAGAGCUGUGGACAAUUUCCCGCUUUGUAUAAGCCAGAAAAAUCCCAUCUCAGCUCCAAGAAGGAAACUACUUUCCAAAAUGUCAGCUCAUGCAGAAAGUCCCAGUUCAGCUGGAACGAGCCGCUCCGUUUGCGCUCGGUGGUUUCUGGAACAACAAAAAGCCGUGUAUGUCCGUGCUGGGAAGCACAGGCACUGAAGGAUAAUGUGGGUAGAUUAUUCCCGUUGGCACCAGGGGCUUAUUAUGGCUUUUGUUAAGCAUCCUCCACCCAUUAGCCACAGCCACAGGAGAAGGGAAUGGUGGUGUUCCCGUUUCGCUUCUUCUGCUUCUGCAGUUGAGCUGCACCUCCUGUUCGGAGACUUUCAAAGUGAAUUUUAAAUCAAAGGAGACAACACUGCUGUUACUGGUUGGGACGUCCAUAAGAAGAACUUCAGCUUUGUCUACUUUGAUUUCAGAUUCACUUUGAUUGUUUUUCUGACAGGAGGUGCAGGCAUCACAAGGCUCUCAGUAGCACCAUCGCCAUUAGCUUCUCGAGUGAUCAUCGCUAUUUAGCUGGAGAGACAAUAAGAGUGGGGUGGGUGUCAAUGGAAAUAACCUUUUCGAUGCUUCUAAAGCUUCAAACCUGUCCUCAGGCUCCCAGGCUCCUAGAAAUACUUAGAGGAAGAGACUGCCUGUGGAGUGGGGAGUAUGGGGUGAUGGAUGAAACAAUAAAAAUGACACUAUGGUAAAAGCGAGCACAGGACACUGCUGUUUGCAAUGCUUUGUGCGUGUGGUUGAUGUCAGAACCAAUACUGUGCUGGGGCUGCAGCAUGAGACCCACACGUGGCAGGAUGGCUGGACCAUGGCUGGUGAGCCCAGGAAGGUGAGUGAGGCCAUGAGGACCAAGGGCAGCCCUCAGCAGUAAGGUGCGGUGGGAAGGGAAUGAGUCCAUUUGGGGUAGCACCCAGGAAAAGUACUGUUUCCCCCCUCUAUCACCCUCUCCUCCUUGACCAUGUUUGAAAAGGGCAUUUCAGUGCCGACGGCAGUGUUGUUGCAGACAGAAGGACCCGGCUGAGAGCAGCCGGUGAUGUGUGCCUUACUUUUAAAAAGAAAGAUGUGUCUUGACAGCUUGCCAAAUACCACAUCUGCCUCUCUUUGCACCUCUGCGGGUGAAGCUGUACAGCAAGGUGGUGAAGACGGGCAGACCUAUCAAUUAACUGUGUGAGGGCCGCUCUCCCCUUUGCUGCCCAGCAGCUGUAGGCAAUGCUGAAAGAACAACCUCCCUGAUGUACAUCUGGAACACCUGUGAGAGAUGCACAGCUGGGACUUCCCUGCAGUGACUGAGGAGCACCACACAAUGCCAGCUCAGAAGGACUGGGAGAAGGGAGGCAUUCACAGUGAGUGCUUUAAUAUAUUUUUAUUAUUGCUUUUCCUCUCUUUCACUGGUGUUUUUCUUCCAUCCUGGUGGACCUGUGUUGGGGAGUGCUAACGAGGCCAUGCAAUGCUUUUUGAGUUGGUUGUUUCUCCAGGUGCCAAAAUUCUAUGCUGCGAGUCAAGGCAAGUCUGUCUCGGUUUAUCUGAGUAGGCCUAACGAUUUUGGGGUUGUAUCUCUGUUGCUCUAUUUUUAAUUGCUGGUCACAAUAACAUUAAAUAAUUGCUUGAUGGUCUGCAGGUUUCAU